Molecule: long non-coding RNA, 128 nt
Organism: Monopterus albus (swamp eel)
Lineage: Eukaryota; Metazoa; Chordata; Actinopteri; Synbranchiformes; Synbranchidae
Exons: 3
Source: RefSeq, a predicted model, not a curated record
ACUCAGGAGAGAAGCUGCUCUCUGAGCUGAGGAACGAUCCACAAUACAAGCUCCACAUACUCAACGUUGAACAUGGUGGAAGUCACAGAAUGAAACCAGGCUUCAGGAAAUAUGCCUGUGAGCUCACC